CAUGUUCUUUUGAUUAUAAUUUAAGAUCUAAUCUGCUCAAUGUAUAAUAAAUAGCCGCAGUAUAUUAACUGUGCGAAGGUAGCAUAAUAAAUAGUUUUUUAAAUGGAAACUUGAAUGAAUGAUUGGACGAGAUUAUUACUGUCUCUAUUUAAAUGUUAUUGAAUUUUAUUUUUAAGUUAAAAAGCUUAAAUUUUUGUAAAAGACGAGAAGACCCUAUAGAGUUUAAUAUAAUUAAAAAAGUAAUUUUUAGAAAAAAUAUUUUUUUUAUUAUAUUUGGUUGGGGUGACUUGAGAAUUAAAUUAAUUUCUUAAAUUUUUAGUUAAUGAUUUUUAAAUUUUUUAUGUUUUUUUUAAGAUAUAAUAUAAAUUACCUUAGGGAUAACAGCGUAAUCUUUUUUAAAAGCUCAAAUUAUAAGAAAGUUUUGCGACCUCGAUGUUGGAUUAAAAUUAAUUUUUGGUGCAGUAGCUUAAAAAUUAGGUCUGUUCGACCUUUAAAAUU
RNAcentral lists this ribosomal RNA (498 nucleotides) under Lycoprogenthes sp. UPOL 000805. Its description in RNAcentral is "partial large subunit ribosomal RNA". The stretch from base 377 to 498 matches the Rfam family "Bacterial large subunit ribosomal RNA", at positions 2473 to 2595 of the family's 2925-position model. The record is from RNAcentral. Lineage: Eukaryota; Metazoa; Arthropoda; Insecta; Coleoptera; Lycidae.